UCCGAGUUGACCCCGGCAGUCUCCCAUGAGUCCCCAACCAAAUGCUGGCAACAUGGAACGAGGGUUGCGCUCGUUGCGGGACUUAACCCAACAUCUCACGACACGAGCUGACGACAGCCAUGCACCACCUGUAUACCGACCACAAGGGGGGCCGUAUCUCUACGGCUUUCCGGUAUAUGUCAAACCCAGGUAAGGUUCUUCGCGUUGCCUCGAAUUAAGCAACAUGCUCCGCCGCUUGUGCGAGCCCCCGUCAAUUCAUUUGAGUUUUAACCUUGCGGCCGUACUCCCCAGGCGGUCGACUUAUCGCGUUAACUGCGCCACUAAGAACUCGAGGCUCCCAACGGCUAGUCGACAUCGUUUACGGCGUGGACUAC
This 374-nucleotide unclassified non-coding RNA is filed under the name uncultured Actinomycetes bacterium. Its description in RNAcentral is "uncultured actinobacterium contains 16S-23S intergenic spacer region". The record is from RNAcentral. Lineage: Bacteria; Bacillati; Actinomycetota; Actinomycetes.